This 791-nucleotide ribosomal RNA is filed under the name uncultured bacterium. Its description in RNAcentral is "bacterial SSU rRNA". It matches the Rfam family "Bacterial small subunit ribosomal RNA", at positions 8 to 796 of the family's 1533-position model. The record is from RNAcentral.
AGAGUUUGAUCCUGGCUCAGGAUGAACGCUAGCGGCAGGCCUAAUACAUGCAAGUCGAACGAUACCUGAGAGCUUGCUCUUGGGGAAAGUGGCGCACGGGUGCGUAACGCGUAUGCAACCUACCUUAAUCAGGGGGAUAGCCUCUCGAAAGAGAGAUUAACACCGCAUAAAAUCACAGUCUGGCAUCAGACAAUGAUCAAAUAUUUAUAGGAUUAAGAUGGGCAUGCGUGUCAUUAGUUAGUUGGUGAGGUAACGGCUCACCAAGACCACGAUGACUAGGGGAUCUGAGAGGAUGACCCCCCACACUGGUACUGAGACACGGACCAGACUCCUACGGGAGGCAGCAGUAAGGAAUAUUGGUCAAUGGAGGCAACUCUGAACCAGCCAUGCCGCGUGCAGGAAGACGGCCCUACGGGUUGUAAACUGCUUUUAUACGGGAAUAAACCUCUUUACGUGUAGAGAGUUGAAUGUACUGUAAGAAUAAGGAUCGGCUAACUCCGUGCCAGCAGCCGCGGUAAUACGGAGGAUCCAAGCGUUAUCCGGAUUUAUUGGGUUUAAAGGGUGCGUAGGCGGCCUAUUAAGUCAGGGGUGAAAGACGGUGGCUCAACCAUCGCAGUGCCUUUGAUACUGAUAGGCUUGAUUACACUUGAGGUAGGCGGAAUGUGACAAGUAGCGGUGAAAUGCAUAGAUAUGUCACAGAACACCAAUUGCGAAGGCAGCUUACUAAGGUGUCAAUGACGCUGAGGCACGAAAGCGUGGGGAUCAAACAGGAUUAGAUACCCUGGUAGUCG